Molecule: unclassified non-coding RNA, 724 nt
Filed under: Hevea brasiliensis (rubber tree)
Lineage: Eukaryota; Viridiplantae; Streptophyta; Magnoliopsida; Malpighiales; Euphorbiaceae
Source: RNAcentral
AGGUAAGAUUGUGUUUCUUUUAUUUUAUUUUUCUUUCUCAUUCUCUUGAAUGAGCUUACCUUACCUUUUCUGUUCAUUCACUGAUUGUUCCCAUACGUUUGACCAGUAUAUCAAAAAAUAGAAAGUGCAUCAAGCAUUGGUCUUUCCCAAACAUGUUAAGGGCAGGAUUUGAUUUCAGCUUCUUUUCCAAUCUCACUCAAGAUAAAUACAAGCAAUGUGCCUCAUUUAUUUAAUCUAUUUUGAUUUCAGCUUCUUUUCCAAUCUCACUCAAGAUAAAUACAAGCAAUGUGCCUCAUUUAUUUAAUCUAUUUUGAUUUAAUUCAAUUUGAGGCAUACUGUUUCUGAAUCUUUGAAAUUGGUAAUAAAGAACUCCUCAAUUGUACAUCAUUCAAUUUUUGCUUUAAAGACAUUACACUAAUAGAUACUGUAAAGUUUACUGAUUGCUUUUAUAGGAAAAUCAAAAUAAUUAGCUAUCCUUAGUUGCACAUAUUGAGCUAAUGAUUCCCUUUAAUAAGUUUACUCUUAUGUUAAUGUGAAUGGGCAUUCAACUGUUGGUAGAGAAUCAAAGGCAUGCAAUUGUUAUGUUUCAUAUGUGUUCUAGAUUUUAGAUUCUAUUGGAUAGUGUGGUUGAAUUUGGUUACUCCUGUUAGGGCAUUCUUUUAUCUUAGUAUAGUUGUGGUAAUUUUCUUUUGUAUCUGAACGUAAGAAAAUUAUACAACAGCAU